AUCAUAGAUUGCUACUACUAUAGUGUUCCUGCAAGUGCUCCUUAAACUUUUCCCUGCAACUUUUUCUAGGACAAAUAGAGUUAAAAACCACCAAGUAUGAAGUCGACCAGUUGUCUCCUCCGCUCAGUCGUAGCCGUGGCCUUGACCUUGUUGGUGGUCAUGGCGGGCAGUUCCUCCUCCAGCCUCGCCCCAAGGAACACACGACACUACGCUGGCAGUUUGCCCCCCGGCGUGGAGGUGACGUUCUUCCUGCAGGUGUGCCAGGUGUGUGGAGAGUUCUACGGCACAGAGUACUCCAGCAAUUGCGUCCACGACAAGACCUUCGUCACCUUCGCCAAGUGUUUCGUCGCCGUGCAGACCAAGAGAUGAGCCGCGCCGCUCUGUCCAGACAAGUGACCAGUGGACGGCUCCCGGGCGACCAGGCGUCGCUUACGUCACGUUUUAUACGUCAUUGUCACUUGAAAAAAUAAAAAAAAAACGUUCACCUAAACUGAGUUGAUGGGAUUUCUACGACAAAAGAGGUCUAAGAAAAUCAAAAUCAAACAAAAACAAAGGGGAAACGUUAAGAUAAUAUGAUGCCCUUCAAAAAUAAUUGUAAGUGAAGAUAGACAAUUUUAACAAAGUAAUAAUGUUAUUAUUGUAUCGAAGGAAAUGAUAACUUUGGACGUUAACGUUGACCCAUGGCAAGGGUCAAACUGGGGAUCUUUGAACUACAUGACUUAGUUUCUACUUUAAAUAAUAGAGAAAAAAGCAGCCCCCCCACCCUCCCCCACAAAACAACCCCACAACAAAACAACAAACAAACAAACAAACAAACAAACAAACCCAAAACAAAACAACUUUUGAACACCAUAAGGAGCAUGUUCAGUUGCAUUUUAAGGACACUAUGCGAAAAUAUGAAUCAACUGCACAAGAAUCAAGUAUUGUAAUGUCAUCUGAAUCUUUGAAAAUCGGUUUUCUGAUAAUUUAUAAUUAUUGUUUUUUUUCUCAGCAUUUGUGCCCAACAAUAACAGACUACAGUACUACUAUGACUAUUGGAAAUAAUAAUAUUGUUCUCAUGACAAACAUAAUAAACAUGAAUAAUCUGAAA
Long non-coding RNA from Aplysia californica (California sea hare), 1090 nucleotides. RefSeq lists it as uncharacterized. NCBI's taxonomy places the organism in Eukaryota, Metazoa, Mollusca, Gastropoda, Aplysiida, Aplysiidae. The record is from RefSeq and is a predicted model, not a curated record. The transcript has 3 exons.